RNAcentral lists this transfer RNA (84 nucleotides) under Gammaproteobacteria bacterium. Its description in RNAcentral is "tRNA-Leu". It matches the Rfam family "tRNA". From Rfam's summary of the family: Transfer RNA (tRNA) molecules are approximately 80 nucleotides in length. Their secondary structure includes four short double-helical elements and three loops (D, anti-codon, and T loops). Lineage: Bacteria; Pseudomonadati; Pseudomonadota; Gammaproteobacteria. The record is from RNAcentral.
GCCGGGGUGGCGGAAUUGGUAGACGCGCCGGUCUCAAAAACCGGUGAGGGAAACUUCAUGCCGGUUCGAUUCCGGCCCUCGGCA